Molecule: long non-coding RNA, 451 nt
Organism: Hyla sarda
Lineage: Eukaryota; Metazoa; Chordata; Amphibia; Anura; Hylidae
Exons: 3
Source: RefSeq, a predicted model, not a curated record
CUUUCAUCCACACUCCUUUAGGCCUGGGCAUUUAAGUAUGCCUGAUCCAUUCCUAGUGGCCUGUGAAAAAACAUUGUUUCUGAAGCUAGAUUCCAUAUCCUGCUUUCUGCAUUCUUCAGGAUUACCUGGACUGAAUAUCUUCACCCUCUGCUGACCUGCGGAUUGGACACCCUGGACCCCUUUACUGCGCCCGCUUCACAGCUCUUCAUCUCCUCCGUGACCAUGUCAUUGCUAUCAGACGUCCUGGUGGUUUUGCACUUUAUUCUUCACGGCUCUUCUCUCCACGGAUGUUUGCCACAUUAAGGAAAUCCUAUUUUAUGUACUGCAUAUAGGCUUGUGUGGUGGUUACACAUGCCUUCUAACUUUGACAACAUCCUAUUUAAAAGAAACAAUUACCUGUAAGAAAUUAUGGCUUUGUCUUAGAGACAAGAAAACAAAUAAUCCAAAUAAA